UGUAAAGACACAUUACAGGC
This 20-nucleotide non-coding RNA is filed under the name Mus musculus (house mouse). Lineage: Eukaryota; Metazoa; Chordata; Mammalia; Rodentia; Muridae. The record is from RNAcentral.